ACUCAAAGGAAUUGACGGGGAGGCGCACAAGCAGUGGAGCAUGUGGUUUAAUUCGAGACAAAGCGAAAAACCUCACCAGGAUUUGACAUUGAUCUGCAAGCGCACGGAAACGUGUGACCUUAGAGGGUGAUCAACAGAUGCUGCAUGGCUGUCGUAAGUUCGUGGCGUGAGCUGUACCCUUAAGUGGGACAACGAACGAAACCCGCACCGUAUGUUAAAUAUUCAUGCGGAACAGCCCUAUUUUUAGGGAGGAAGGGGCGGAUGACGUCAAGUCCGCACGGCUCUUACAUCCUGGGCUACACACAUCCUACAAUGGCGAAUAACAACGAGUUGCAAACUGGUAACAGUAAGCUAACCUCUAAAAUUUCGCCUCAGUUCAGAUUGGGGUCUGCAAUUCGACCCCAUGAAGUCGGAAUUGCUAGUAAUCGCGAAUCAGAAGGUCGCGGUGAAUACGUUCUCGCCUCUUGUACACACCGCCCGU
This 481-nucleotide ribosomal RNA is filed under the name uncultured bacterium. Its description in RNAcentral is "partial 16S ribosomal RNA". It matches the Rfam family "Bacterial small subunit ribosomal RNA", at positions 899 to 1397 of the family's 1533-position model. The record is from RNAcentral.